CUGAAAACAUCAGUUCUCAUUCAAUCACCAAAGUUAAGCAUUGUCAAGCCUGGUCAGUACUUAAAUGGGGGAUUGCAUGGGAACACCAACUACUG
This is a non-coding RNA of Acanthosepion pharaonis, 95 nucleotides long. NCBI's taxonomy places the organism in Eukaryota, Metazoa, Mollusca, Cephalopoda, Sepiida, Sepiidae. The record is from the annotation of a GenBank genome assembly.